GUGGGGAAUCUUGCGCAAUGCGCGAAAGCGUGACGCAGCAACGCCGCGUGAGGGAAGACGGCCUUCGGGUUGUAAACCUCUUUCAGGAGGGACGAAGGCCCACCGGUGAACAGCCGAGUGGGUUGACGGUACCUCCAGAAGAAGCCCCGGCUAACUACGUGCCAGCAGCCGCGGUAAUACGUAGGGGGCAAGCGUUGUCCGGAAUCAUUGGGCGUAAAGCGCGCGUAGGCGGCCCUGUAAGUCCGCUGUGAAAGUCAAAGGCUCAACCUUUGAAUGCCGGUGGAUACUGCAGGGCUAGAGUCCGGAAGAGGCGAGUGGAAUUCCUGGUGUAGCGGUGGAAUGCGCAGAUAUCAGGAGGAACACCGAUAGCGAAGGCAGCUCGCUGGGACGGUACUGACGCUGAGGCGCGAAAGCGUGGGGAGCGAACAGGAUUAGAAACCCUGGUAGUCC
RNAcentral lists this ribosomal RNA (450 nucleotides) under uncultured bacterium. RNAcentral's name for it is "bacterial SSU rRNA". It matches the Rfam family "Bacterial small subunit ribosomal RNA", at positions 354 to 796 of the family's 1533-position model. The record is from RNAcentral.